Molecule: ribosomal RNA, 427 nt
Filed under: uncultured bacterium
Lineage: Bacteria
Description: partial 16S ribosomal RNA
Rfam family: Bacterial small subunit ribosomal RNA
Source: RNAcentral
UAGGGAAUCUUCCGCAAUGGGCGAAAGCCUGACGGAGCAACGCCGCGUGAGUGAUGAAGGUCUUCGGAUCGUAAAACUCUGUUAUCAGGGAAGAACAAAUGUGUAAGUAACUGUGCACAUCUUGACGGUACCUGAUCAGAAAGCCACGGCUAACUACGUGCCAGCAGCCGCGGAAAUACGUAGGUGGCAAGCGUUAUCCGGAAUUAUUGGGCGUAAAGCGCGCGUAGGCGGUUUUUUAAGUCUGAUGUGAAAGCCCACGGCUCAACCGUGGAGGGUCAUUGGAAACUGGAAAACUUGAGUGCAGAAGAGGAAAGUGGAAUUCCAUGUGUAGCGGUGAAAUGCGCAGAGAUAUGGAGGAACACCAGUGGCGAAGGCGACUUUCUGGUCUGUAACUGACGCUGAUGUGCGAAAGCGUGGGGAUCAAACA